Taeniopygia guttata (zebra finch) is the source of this 2113-nucleotide long non-coding RNA. Lineage: Eukaryota; Metazoa; Chordata; Aves; Passeriformes; Estrildidae. The record is from Ensembl.
GGCGUCAGUUCGGCGGCGGGACUGGAGGCGACGGGAGCUGCGAAUGCGCGUUCCGGGGAGCGCCGCUGCGCCGGGACGGGCCCCCCGCGGCUGCCGAUCCGAGGAGCGCUGCUACAGGCUGCAGUGAGAAGCAGGAGCAACCUUUAGCUACAGGAAGCUGAGGAGCUGGAGCUGAGGCAGCAGAGCCGGAGGAGACAGAAAUGUGGCGGUCCAGUCGUGUAACACCGAGACCCCCUCUGCAACCAGCCCGCAGACCCGCUCCUUCAACCUCGUGGGAAUUCAGGAAGCGGCACACGGCUCUGCGAGGAAGCCUUGAUCUUUGUCACUGGAAGGUGUCACACAGGGAGCCUUCAGGAGCGGCCGAGGAGUUGCUCUGAGCAAGGGACCACAGCCUGCUGACCAUAAGACAUUCCCAGCUGUCGAGGCAGCCUCCAUUUGCACAGGAUGUGGAUUCUCAUCCCCGGAUGCCUGAGAGAUAAGUCGAGGGCUAAGGCCCACAGAGGGGACAAAGGCAACGUGCUGGGAGGGCCUAUUGAAUCAGCUCUGGGGGCGGGCAUGUGCAAGAAGGGUCCCCUUAGGCCACCUAAAGGGAAAAUGUCUAUUUUGAUCUCGGUGCUGAAGCGUGCAGGGCAGACCAGUUCCAGUGCGUGUCCUGUCACUUGUCUCUGGUGCACUCUGUGUUGUUUGGGUCUCUCAGUCCUUGCACACAUUCUUCUCAUUGAAAGCUCUCUCUCCCUGUCCUGUCCCCUCGUUUGUCACGUCCUGUCCUGUGUCACCGGUGUCUGCACUCAUUUGUCCAGGAGCUGCUCUGCCCUGCUGCAUAGCCUGUAAUAGCAAAAGCCCCGGGACUUGAAAUUUGUAAUGCAGGGUGUAGUUGGGAUCUAGAUUCUAUUGGGAGAUUGACAUAACAUUUUUGGUGCUGUUAAGUUGUCCUGCAGCUGUUUGACACUAGUUCUAACUUCGUUUCAGAUGCAGACAGUUCAAAUCUGUGGUAGAGAGCGCCAGUCCUGGGUAAAGGUGUUGGCAUAAGCAGGUCAGUCAUUGUUUGCAUUUGCAGGAGAAGCCUAAAUCGUGACUGUGUUACAGCAGUGUUCUUUGCCUUUAUUUUUAGGAGGUCCAGGCAGAUAGCAGCAGUCAAGGCCCAUUGUGCUAGGGAAUCCCUUCGGAGUACGCAUAGCACCUGUCACCAGCUGGCCAAUGGACUGGGUUUCCUGUGCUUUAUGAGACCUCUGGAAGUAUAGCGGGACUCUGUGAUGAAGCCUAAAAAUUUUGUAUUUCAGGGUCCCAACCUGGUAGCCCAGAGGAGUGGACAAGGAAUUGCGGUGAUGCUGUCGGCCUCCAAGCACGCCUGAAGUGUGUGGCCUGGGCACUCUGAGGAGGAUGGCAGACCAAGAGGUGACAGCUGGAACUUAGCAGGCAGGAAGACGGCCUUCUUCUGCAGCCAACAGGGAUUUACAUCCCCAGAUAUGUGCAAGAUAAGUGGAGUGUUACGACCUACAGAGUGGAUGGAAGCACGGUGCUGGCUUGGGCCUUUCUAGAAGGGUUUUUUUUGUCUGUUUUGGGGAUGGGGAUGUCCAAGAAGCAUUUCCCUAGUCCUCCUAAAGGGAAAAUGUCUGUUUUGGUCUCAGUGCUGAGGUUCACAGGGCAGAGCAGUUCCGGUGUGUGUCCUGUCACUUGUCUCUGGUGCACUCUGUGUUGUUUGGGUCUCUCGGUCCUUUCUUCUCCUCGAGAGCUCUCCCUCCCUGUCACGUCCCCUCGUUUGUCACGUCCCGUCCUGUGUCACGGGUGUCUGCACAUAUUUGUCCCGGCCAUGCUCUGCCCUGCUGCAUAGCCUGGCCAGUCCAUAAGGUGAUGUUCGUCACUAAGGUUUGGCCACAGACCAUCCCCAGGCCAGGGUUUUUUUCAAGGAGGAUUUUUUGGAAGCUCCCGGGAGCCACGUUCCUGAGGAACAAUGAUUUCUGGGGUGUAACGGAGCAGUUGAGAUGAGAGCGAUGGUGAGUUUGUGUGUAACAUGAAGGAGGUGCUCAUGCUAGAUGAGUGUUGUUUUGUGUGUGUAAUCUUUCUUUUGUGUUUCCUCUAACAAUAAAACAAAAUGUAAUUAAACUAGAAAAAA